AUUGAACGCUGGCGGCAGGCCUAACACAUGCAAGUCGAGCGGAAACGAGUUAUCUGAACCUUCGGGGGACGAUAACGGCGUCGAGCGGCGGACGGGUGAGUAAUGCCUAGGAAAUUGCCCUGAUGUGGGGGAUAACCAUUGGAAACGAUGGCUAAUACCGCAUAAUACCUACGGGUCAAAGAGGGGGACCUUCGGGGCCUCUCGCGUCAGGAUAUGCCUAGGUGGGAUUAGCUAGUUGGUGAGGUAAUGGCUCACCAAGGCGACGAUCCCUAGCUGGUCUGAGAGGAUGAUCAGCCACACUGGAACUGAGACACGGUCCAGACUCCUACGGGAGCAGCAGUGGGAAUAUUGCACAAUGGGCGCAAGCCUGAUGCAGCCAUGCCGCGUGUAUGAAGAAGGCCUUUGGGUGUAAAGUACUUUCAGCAGUGAGAGGGUCGUUAA
Molecule: ribosomal RNA, 441 nt
Filed under: uncultured bacterium
Lineage: Bacteria
Description: bacterial SSU rRNA
Rfam family: Bacterial small subunit ribosomal RNA
Source: RNAcentral